Molecule: ribosomal RNA, 253 nt
Filed under: uncultured bacterium
Lineage: Bacteria
Description: partial 16S ribosomal RNA
Rfam family: Bacterial small subunit ribosomal RNA
Source: RNAcentral
UACGUAGGGUGCGAGCGUUAAUCGGAAUUACUGGGCGUAAAGCGUGCGCAGGCGGCGAUGUAAGACAGGUGUGAAAUCCCCAGGCUCAACUUGGGAACUGCGUCUGAUACUGGAUGGCUUGAAUUCGGGAGAGGGAUGCAGAAUUCCAGGUGUAGCGGUGAAAUGCGUAGAUAUCUGGGGGAAUACCGGUGGCGAAGGCGGCAUCCUGGACCGAUAUUGACACUGAGGAGCGAAAGCCAGGGGAGCAAACGGG